GAUGAACGCUGGCGGCGUGCCUAAUACAUGCAAGUCGAGCGAACAGACGAGGAGCUUGCUCCUCUGACGUUAGCGGCGGACGGGUGAGUAACACGUGGAUAACCUACCUAUAAGACUGGGAUAACUUCGGGAAACCGGAGCUAAUACCGGAUAAUAUAUUGAACCGCAUGGUUCAAUAGUGAAAGACGGUUUUGCUGUCACUUAUAGAUGGAUCCGCGCCGCAUUAGCUAGUUGGUAAGGUAACGGCUUACCAAGGCAACGAUGCGUAGCCGACCUGAGAGGGUGAUCGGCCACACUGGAACGGAGACACGGUCCAGACUCCUACGAGAGGCAGCAGUAGGGAAUCUUCCGCAAUGGGCGAAAGCCUGACGGAGCAACGCCGCGUGAGUGAUGAAGGUCUUCGGAUCGUAAAACUCUGUUAUUAGGGAAGAACAAAUGUGUAAGUAACUAUGCACGUCUUGACGGUACCUAAUCAGAAAGCCACGGCUAACUACGUG
This 497-nucleotide ribosomal RNA is filed under the name uncultured bacterium. RNAcentral describes it as "partial 16S ribosomal RNA". It matches the Rfam family "Bacterial small subunit ribosomal RNA", at positions 28 to 507 of the family's 1533-position model. The record is from RNAcentral.